Molecule: transfer RNA, 82 nt
Filed under: Treponema sp.
Lineage: Bacteria; Pseudomonadati; Spirochaetota; Spirochaetia; Treponematales; Treponemataceae
Also listed under: 1 other name
Description: tRNA-Leu
Source: RNAcentral
GCGGGGAUGGUGGAAUUGGUAGACACGCCAGCUUGAGGUGCUGGUGCUGCGAGGCGUGGCCGUUCAAGUCGGCUUCUCCGCA